UCAUAAAUCUAGCCGCAUACCACGAGGACUACGUUCUAAUUUUCGACCGACAUUGUUCAAGGAGGAUAAGGAUUUCUGUGAUCGUUUUGAGAGCAUACUCAAUAAAUGUUCAUUGAACUUAAUGCUUUUAACCAUUGAGAAAGCCUAUUCAUCCAUCAACGAUCUUACCAAACAGGUUGAAACGACAGAGAACCAGUUGAGCACCAUACUACCUCCAGAGGAUUGGGACACGCUUAAAGAAAAGACCACCAAACAGAUCGCGGAGUACCAGUCACACACAGAAUCUACUAAAAGGUCCAAGUUUAUAAGGGACGCAGAAGAUUAUAGACUCAAUCAGGUUUACAGGUGGAGGGAUCCGAACUACCAACCCUCGUGGAAUAGUCACUAUCACCAGUUUUCUUCAGGAGCCAGCUCAACAGGGUCUGACGGCGAAAGAUCACAGCAUCGCAUACAGCCUUUUUUAGGGAGAGGCCAUACACGCCCCAGAUACGGAAGAAACGACCGCGGAGGAGCCAGAGGAACAGACCCGGACAACCGUAUCCAGACACGCUCACAGAUUCACUAGCCUUGACCUUGGUCCAUAUGAUCUAGUUAUGGAUCCCUUGAUAAAGGUCGACAUCGACCAAAACGUUGGGUGUACUACUUACCUAAGUAAUUGUAAUGCUUGAAUAAUUACUCUGGAUGGAACAAAAAGUUGAUGUAUGAACUAUC
Molecule: long non-coding RNA, 711 nt
Organism: Bufo bufo (common toad)
Lineage: Eukaryota; Metazoa; Chordata; Amphibia; Anura; Bufonidae
Exons: 3
Source: RefSeq, a predicted model, not a curated record